GACGGGCUGCGGGGUGCGUCAGACCAUCGUUAUCCCUGGGGCCUUAAAUCCACCGUAAGGGAGCUGUCCCUGCCGGUCCCCUGGGAUCGGUAUUCACGGCGCCCACCUGCUGAUGCAGGCCACGGAGGAUCACACGGUCAACGGCUCAGGCGGCCCGUCA
This 160-nucleotide non-coding RNA is filed under the name Rhodospirillales bacterium. RNAcentral describes it as "6S RNA". It matches the Rfam family "6S / SsrS RNA". Rfam says of the family: E. coli 6S RNA was the first non coding RNA to be sequenced, but its function was unknown until recently. It consists of 184 nucleotides that fold into an extended hairpin structure with a large single-stranded internal bulge. The record is from RNAcentral. Lineage: Bacteria; Pseudomonadati; Pseudomonadota; Alphaproteobacteria; Rhodospirillales.